UGUGCGGAUCUAUGCGAAACUGA
This 23-nucleotide microRNA is filed under the name Gallus gallus (chicken). RNAcentral describes it as "microRNA Ros-gga". The record is from RNAcentral. Lineage: Eukaryota; Metazoa; Chordata; Aves; Galliformes; Phasianidae.